This 487-nucleotide ribosomal RNA is filed under the name Blastocystis sp. subtype 3. RNAcentral's name for it is "SSU rRNA". It matches the Rfam family "Eukaryotic small subunit ribosomal RNA", at positions 512 to 1008 of the family's 1831-position model. Lineage: Eukaryota; Bigyra; Opalinata; Blastocystidae. The record is from RNAcentral.
UUGAGACAACGUACAAACCUUAUCGAUAAACAAUUGGAGGGCAAGUCUGGUGCCAGCAGCCGCGGUAAUUCCAGCUCCAAUAGCGUAUAUUAACGUUGUUGCAGUUAAAAAGCUCGUAGUUGAAAUGAAGGGUAGUUGUGUAAUGAAUACAUUCGUGUAUUUUGUUAUUCAAGUAUCCUCCUUCUAAAUUCGAUAUAUGAGUAUUAAUUUACUUGUAUAUGGUUUUAGACCUUUACUGUGAGAAAAUUAGAGUGUUCAAAGCAGGCAUUUGCUUGAAUAUAUUAGCAUGGAAUAAUCAUGUAUGAUUUUCAUGAUGUAUUUGAUUGGUUUGGUUGAUGAGAAUAAGAUUAAAAGGGACAGUUGGGGGUAUUCAUAUUCAAUAGUCAGAGGUGAAAUUCUCGGAUUUAUGGAAGAUGAACAAGUGCGAAAGCAUUUACCAAGGAUGUUUUCAUUAAUCAAGAACGAAAGUUAGGGGAUCGAAGAGGAU